AUGCACCCACUUGGUUCCCACGGCUUCUUCCCGGUUUUGCAAUAUGCAAACGAUACACUGAUCAUUUUCCGCGGUGAGGUGGAGCAAGCUAGAGUCAUUAAGAAUAUCCUCGCUGCCUUCUCUGCGUUCUCAGGGCUGACUAUCAACUUUCACAAAAGCACUAUGGUGCUUGUUUGUGUGCAACAGGAAGUGGCUGCAGAGAUUGCCAGCAUCCUGGGCUGCCCGGUCUCCUCCUUUCCCUGCACUUACCUGGGGAUGCCCCUCUCCUUGCACAAGAUCAAGCAUGGUAUGCUGCUUCCGGUUAUCCACAAAGUUGAUCGCCGUCUCUCUGGUUGGCUGGCCACGUUCCUCUCUUGGGGUGGCAGACUCACUCUCGUUAACUCCGUUCUGUUUGGCAUUCCGAGCUACUUCAUGACUUGUUUCCAGUGGCCAAAGGAGUCUUUACAUAAGUUGGACGCCUUGCUUAGGGCUUUCUUUUGGCAGGGCAAGAAUACAGUUAAAGGAGGCCAGUGUCUGAUGGCCUGGGAUAUGGUUACACUACCUCAGGUAAACGGCGGUUUGGGGGUAAGGAACUUGGAGGCCCAUAACCAAGCGCUGCUAUGUAAGUUUGUAGCUAAAAUUCUCCAGUCCUCCGAUAUACCCUGCUUCAAGUGGUUUGCCUCCCAAUAUUGCAAGGAUUCUUUGCCUUUCAAGAGUCACCACAAAGAUACUGCUAUUUGGAAGGGCCUCAAGAGCUACAUCCCUCUGGUUGUCUCCUCCUCUCGCUGCUCUGUUGGCAGCGGCGCGCACGUCUCCUUCUGGCAUGAUCGAUGGCUAAUGCCUAGCAGUUUGAAGCAUGCUUUCCCGGCCCUUUUCUCCUUUGCUCGCAAUCCAAAUUGUUUUGUGCAAUCUCAGUUUACAGAAGGUGCCUAG
Molecule: ribosomal RNA, 912 nt
Filed under: Triticum aestivum (bread wheat)
Lineage: Eukaryota; Viridiplantae; Streptophyta; Magnoliopsida; Poales; Poaceae
Description: partial small subunit ribosomal RNA
Source: RNAcentral